Molecule: ribosomal RNA, 429 nt
Filed under: bacterium
Lineage: Bacteria
Description: partial 16S ribosomal RNA
Rfam family: Bacterial small subunit ribosomal RNA
Source: RNAcentral
UAGGUAAUCUUCGGCAAUGGGGGCAACCCUGACCGAGCAACGCCGCGUGAGUGAAGAAGGUUUUCGGAUCGUAAAGCUCUGUUGUAAGAGAAGAACGUGUGUGAGAGUGGAAAGUUCACACAGUGACGGUAACUUACCAGAAAGGGACGGCUAACUACGUGCCAGCAGCCGCGGUAAUACGUAGGUCCCGAGCGUUGUCCGGAUUUAUUGGGCGUAAAGCGAGCGCAGGCGGUUUAAUAAGUCUGAAGUUAAAGGCAGUGGCUUAACCAUUGUUCGCUUUGGAAACUGUUAAACUUGAGUGCAGAAGGGGAGAGUGGAAUUCCAUGUGUAGCGGUGAAAUGCGUAGAUAUAUGGAGGAACACCGGUGGCGAAAGCGGCUCUCUGGUCUGUAACUGACGCUGAGGCUCGAAAGCGUGGGGAGCAAACAGG